UUUUAUGGAGAGUUUGAUCCUGGCUCAGGAUGAACGCUGGCGGCGUGCCUAAUACAUGCAAGUCGAGCGAACGGACGAGAAGCUUGCUUCUCUGAUGUUAGCGGCGGACGGGUGAGUAACACGUGGAUAACCUACCUAUAAGACUGGGAUAACUUCGGGAAACCGGAGCUAAUACCGGAUGAUAUUUUGAACCGCAUGGUUCAAAAGUGAAAGACGGUCUUGCUGUCACUUAUAGAUGGAUCCGCGCUGCAUUAGCUAGUUGGUAAGGUAACGGCUUACCAAGGCAACGAUGCAUAGCCGACCUGAGAGGGUGAUCGGCCACACUGGAACUGAGACACGGUCCAGACUCCUACGGGAGGCAGCAGUAGGGAAUCUUCCGCAAUGAGCGAAAGCCUGACGGAGCAA
This 405-nucleotide ribosomal RNA is filed under the name Staphylococcus aureus. RNAcentral describes it as "bacterial SSU rRNA". It matches the Rfam family "Bacterial small subunit ribosomal RNA", at positions 1 to 394 of the family's 1533-position model. The record is from RNAcentral. Lineage: Bacteria; Bacillati; Bacillota; Bacilli; Caryophanales; Staphylococcaceae.